This 73-nucleotide transfer RNA is filed under the name Camponotus floridanus (Florida carpenter ant). Its description in RNAcentral is "tRNA-Ser". It matches the Rfam family "tRNA". Rfam says of the family: Transfer RNA (tRNA) molecules are approximately 80 nucleotides in length. Their secondary structure includes four short double-helical elements and three loops (D, anti-codon, and T loops). Further hydrogen bonds mediate the characteristic L-shaped molecular structure. tRNAs have two regions of fundamental functional importance: the anti-codon, which is responsible for specific mRNA codon recognition, and the 3' end, to which the tRNAs corresponding amino acid is attached (by aminoacyl-tRNA synthetases). tRNAs cope with the degeneracy of the genetic code in two manners: having more than one tRNA (with a specific anti-codon) for a particular amino acid; and 'wobble' base-pairing, i.e. permitting non-standard base-pairing at the 3rd anti-codon position. The record is from Rfam by way of RNAcentral. Lineage: Eukaryota; Metazoa; Arthropoda; Insecta; Hymenoptera; Formicidae.
GUCUGGAUAGCUCAGUGGUCUAGAGCAGUUGCCUGGAAAGCGAAAGACUCGGGUUCGAUUCCCGAUUCAGCCA